Pleuronectes platessa (European plaice) is the source of this 1801-nucleotide long non-coding RNA. RefSeq lists it as uncharacterized. The transcript is spliced from 2 exons. NCBI's taxonomy places the organism in Eukaryota, Metazoa, Chordata, Actinopteri, Pleuronectiformes, Pleuronectidae. The record is from RefSeq and is a predicted model, not a curated record.
UAGUUUCCUUCCUCAGCUUGUAAAAGUAUAAUAACCCCAUACUGAUCAACUCAUGUUAAAAUACUAUGUCAUAUUCAAGAAGUCCUUCAUCAGCCUGGAACAGGAAGACUGACAAACCAUGACAAGCCUCGAUCAAGAUCUGUGGUUGGCGCAGAGAUGUUCAUACAACAAGCGGACAGUUCACAUCUGAUGCUUUGGACAUGGAACUCACCAGGGGACACCAGGAUAUUCUGCAUCAGGACGGUCAACACUACAGACCGAAACCUGCACAGAGACAGAGAGAAGAAUGGACAGAGAGAACGUGAAACAGGAGGGAGAUGAAGAAAUAGUUAGAAAAUGUACAAAAAAACAAAAGCUUAGUGCUAAAGAAAGAUACGUUUAUUUAUACCAAACACAUGCAAAGGUACACUCAUGCAGGUAGGUAAAUUUAUCCUCUGCAUUUAACCCAUCUGGUGGAGGACACACAGAGCAGUGGGCAGCCAUGUACGGCGCCCGGGGAGCAGAUGUUGGGGGAGUAAGGUGCCUUGCUCAGGGGCACUAGACAGGGUAGGGAGAAUCCUCUUGGAUUUUUGGACAGAUCAAUCCAGAAUCGUCUUUUGUUGUCUCUCCGUGGAGUCUGACCAGAGACCUUUUCUGCCCAUUGUCCAAGUUUCUGCCACUAGUCCACUGCCUCUCCAUGGUCAAUGUCUAGGUAAAUGUAGGCCUCAGUAAUAUGAUUAUGAAUAAUAUUAAUCAUUUCUAAAUCCUACUAGUGCAGGUUAAUCAUGUGUGACGAGGUCGUUUUUUAUUGGUUUUACCUCAUUUGGGUGUGUUUCUUUAUAUCCUGAUUGUUUUUUUAACCAUAUUUUUAUACCUUUUGAAAUCACACAUGAUUCCUUGGCAUUACAACAGUCUCCGCUCAACGGUGUGAAGGAAUGUCGAGUGAUUUCUCAAUCGGAAGUGACAAACUUGGCAGUUGGAGGAUUGCACUUGAAUGUCACUGUGAGAACACUUUGUGCCAGAGACAAGGGAACAGUGACAGUGACAGAGUAGAGUGGAAGAACUGGUGGACCAACGCCUCAGCACAUAUAAUGACGCAUCACACAAGAUGUGGGUCAGCAGUUCUCAUCAAUGGCUUUUCAGCGCUCCAGUGGAAGCAGGUUUAUUGUCUGCUGAUUUUCAGGCUUGCUCAUCACGAAACAAUGGUUCCCAGUCAUGAGAAAUUGUCCCAACACAAGAUGCUAAACUAGACGUUCAUGUCACUAUCAAUUGCAUUAAAGUGGAUAUUUUUGUUGAUUUAUUUCCAAGACAAAGACACAAGACAUAUGACUACUUCUUCGAGUGGCUUAAGCUACUUAUUCCGACAAGUUCACACAGUGUUAAUCAAAUGUUUGAAUACAAUGUGAACGUUGUGAAGUCAUUUGAGGAUUUGUAUUGUUUCAAAUUUGCUGAACUACUACAAAAUCUUUUGUAAUUUUCAUGCUGUAACGAAAACGUGUUUUUUGUGUUAUAUGAAGAAAUUAGUUAUUUUCAUGUUAUUUUGACACACAACCUUAUGAUAUAACACAAUAUUUCACAUUACAACAACACUUUUUUCACUAUAACCCGAUGAAUUAUUCUCUAAUAUGAAACUCAUGUUUGAAAGAAGAAACAUGUGCUGAGAAAAGAAACUCAUAAAAAAGGCCUCGAUUACACAAUCUGAUUCCAACCCGUGCCCGGGUUGAGACGUGUUGGGGCGGAGGACGAUGCAGUAUCCAAAAAUAUAUCUUAACGUGAAAAACAUCUUCUUAUAACAAUAAACCUUUCCCCUACAUGAUACUGA